RNAcentral lists this ribosomal RNA (861 nucleotides) under uncultured bacterium. RNAcentral describes it as "bacterial SSU rRNA". It matches the Rfam family "Bacterial small subunit ribosomal RNA", at positions 63 to 918 of the family's 1533-position model. The record is from RNAcentral.
CGAGCGGGGAAGGGUAGCUUGCUACCUAACCUAGCGGCGGACGGGUGAGUAAUGCUUAGGAAUCUGCCAUUUAGUGGGGGACAACAUUCCGAAAGGAAUGCUAAUACCGCAUACGUCCUACGGGAGAAAGCAGGGGAUCUUCGGACCUUGCGCUAAAUGAUGAGCCUAAGUCGGAUUAGCUAGUUGGUGGGGUAAAGGCCUACCAAGGCGACGAUCUGUAGCGGGUCUGAGAGGAUGAUCCGCCACACUGGGACUGAGACACGGCCCAGACUCCUACGGGAGGCAGCAGUGGGGAAUAUUGGACAAUGGGCGGAAGCCUGAUCCAGCCAUGCCGCGUGUGUGAAGAAGGCCUUAUGGUUGUAAAGCACUUUAAGCGAGGAGGAGGCUACUUAGAUUAAUACUCUAGGAUAGUGGACGUUACUCGCAGAAUAAGCACCGGCUAACUCUGUGCCAGCAGCCGCGGUAAUACAGAGGGUGCGAGCGUUAAUCGGAUUUACUGGGCGUAAAGCGUGCGUAGGCGGCUUUUUAAGUCGGAUGUGAAAUCCCCGAGCUUAACUUGGGAAUUGCAUUCGAUACUGGGAAGCUAGAGUAUGGGAGAGGAUGGUAGAAUUCCAGGUGUAGCGGUGAAAUGCGUAGAGAUCUGGAGGAAUACCGAUGGCGAAGGCAGCCAUCUGGCCUAAUACUGACGCUGAGGUACGAAAGCAUGGGGAGCAAACAGGAUUAGAUACCCUGGUAGUCCAUGCCGUAAACGAUGUCUACUAGCCGUUGGGGCCUUUGAGGCUUUAGUGGCGCAGCUAACGCGAUAAGUAGACCGCCUGGGGAGUACGGUCGCAAGACUAAAACUCAAAGGAAUUGACGGAA